UCCCUAGAUGUUCUGGGCCGCACGCGCGCUACACUGAACAGUUCAACAAGUCUUAACCUUGGCCGAUAGGUCUGGGUAAUCUUUGAACGCUGUUCGUGAUUGGGAUAGACCUUUGCAAUUAUGGGUCUUCAACGAGGAGUUCCUAGUAAACGCAAGUCAUCAGCUUGCAUUGAUUACGUCCCUGCCCUUUGUACACACCGCCCGUCGCACCUACCGAUUGAAUGGUCCGGUGAAAUCUCGGGACGGCGGCUUGGUCGCUUGCGUCCGACUGCUGAAACUUGAUUAAACCAUAUCAUUUAGAGGAAGGUGAAGUCGUAACA
Molecule: ribosomal RNA, 320 nt
Filed under: uncultured eukaryote
Lineage: Eukaryota
Description: partial 18S ribosomal RNA
Rfam family: Eukaryotic small subunit ribosomal RNA
Source: RNAcentral